AGCGCAAAGUCCUUAACUUCCAACACAUACAGCCCCUGUCUGUGCCUCCCAGCAAGGCCCUAGGAUGCUGUACUGGCCUGCUUUGCACCACCUUCCCUGCCCUACUUCCUGAACUUUGUAUACCCUGAGCGCAAGCUGUGCAAACAGGACCAAGCUAACUGCCUUUGACCCUCCAAGACUGCCAUAUUUGGAACCUGACUUAUUGCUAAAGGAAUCUUCAUCCAUGCCAAUGGAAAAACAUUGAGAUAGACCAGGAUAAAAGCUCUCCGACGUGUUGGGCAUGUCAAGUUGGAAAGAUAACUUGCUGAGGAUAGAGAAGGGCUUACCCACCAAUUCUUGAUGGAAGCAGGGAGUUUACUUCUCUCCUCCAUGUAUUAGGUACAAAUCCAGGAAUUCUGACCUCUUCGUUGACUCUACCCUACCCACAAUGAAAAAUGCUAAGAGAUAGCCUUGAAAUUUACACCAUAGACAAAUGUAUAUAGCAUUUUGUUGUAAACUUAUGCAAUAUUUACAUAUGGAAUUGGAAACACAUUUCAGAUUUUAGGUUCUCAAACACCAGAACUGAUGCCCCAGUGCCAUGUUUUCAUAUCUGUUUAGCUUUCGUGUGCAGCUGAAGUAUUUCACAAUGCAUCAAGGAACAUAUCAGAAGAAAAGAUUAUGAAAAGCAAGGCAACCUGUUAAAUAAUAAGAUAGUAAUCUGAAGAGACUCACCCUUCUCUCAUAAAAUAAAAAAUGCCUAGAGAUAGGCAUUAAGGCCAAGCUUACUUUUGACGAGAGAUUAGAAAUGUUUAACUAUCUGGGAAUGAAAGCCACAUACCAUCCUGAGGUAAAUGUAGAGCACUAAAAAUGACUUCCCCAUCAGUAACUCAGGAACAGAACAUUUCACAACUUGGCAGCUGGAUGAAAAGAUAAUCAUGUGGAUAGAAGCAUGGACCUCCCUGCCUUGAAGAGAUAACAGAACCAAAAAAGAAGAAGUAGUCAAGAAGGUAUUUGCUUUCUAAGGUCAUUGUGGUCU
Molecule: long non-coding RNA, 1015 nt
Organism: Hemicordylus capensis (graceful crag lizard)
Lineage: Eukaryota; Metazoa; Chordata; Lepidosauria; Squamata; Cordylidae
Exons: 3
Source: RefSeq, a predicted model, not a curated record